RNAcentral lists this ribosomal RNA (401 nucleotides) under uncultured soil bacterium. RNAcentral describes it as "bacterial SSU rRNA". It matches the Rfam family "Bacterial small subunit ribosomal RNA", at positions 975 to 1375 of the family's 1533-position model. The record is from RNAcentral.
CUGGGCUCGAACGGCUGGUCAACGAUCGUGGAAACACGGUUACUCCGCAAGGGGGUCCAGUCGAGGUGCUGCAUGGCUGUCGUCAGCUCGUGUCGUGAGAUGUUGGGUUAAGUCCCGCAACGAGCGCAACCCUCGUCCUGUGUUGCCAUCAUUCAGUUGGGAACUCGCAGGAGACCGCCAGCGAUAAGCUGGAGGAAGGUGGGGAUGACGUCAAGUCCUCAUGGCCUUUAUGUCCAGGGCUACACACGUGCUACAAUGGCCGGUACAAUGCGCUGCUAAGUCGCAAGACGGAGCCAAUCGCAAAAAACCGGUCUCAGUUCGGAUUGCAGGCUGCAACUCGCCUGCAUGAAGCUGGAAUCGCUAGUAAUGGCAUAUCAGAACGAUGCCGUGAAUACGUUCCC